This 87-nucleotide transfer RNA is filed under the name Lentisphaeria bacterium. RNAcentral's name for it is "tRNA-Pro". It matches the Rfam family "tRNA". From Rfam's summary of the family: Transfer RNA (tRNA) molecules are approximately 80 nucleotides in length. Their secondary structure includes four short double-helical elements and three loops (D, anti-codon, and T loops). The record is from RNAcentral. Lineage: Bacteria; Pseudomonadati; Lentisphaerota; Lentisphaeria.
GGGGGGAUGGCUGAACGGUUAAAAGCCCCGUGUGGCCGCGGGAGCCGCUGCGUGCGGUUACAGGUUCAAAUCCUGUUCCCCCCUCCA